UGGUGUCUGUCUCCACCUCUGCAGACAGAUGUUGGUGAGUGAAGGAAUGAAGUUUGAUGCUGAACUCUCGACGUUUGUUCUAGACUGCUUCAGAAGUGGAGACAGGAAGUAGCUGAUGGAGAUCUGGGAUCCUCACUGAGUCACCGCAGCUUUUAUUUUGUCAGACAGGUCACAGCUGUCACCUCGGUGUACCUGAGCAGGGACAGGUGAGGCAGAGGAGGAGGACGAGAGGGUUUUAUGACUGUCACGAACGGCGCCAUCAGAGCGACGCCGCGCAGGAUUUCAAGCGUGCUCGACUCUGUGGCGCCCACCGUGGCGAGGCUCGGUCCACUCUGGCCCACGGCAUGCUGGGAAAAUCUUCAGCUUCCCUGCCAGUCUGAGCCCAAAGCCAGAGAGCUAAAUGACAGGGUUGACUCCUCCUGGACGCCCCGCACCGCGAAUCCAACGCUCCCUCCACUGCUACCCUGCAAUUAACUCACUGCUGAGAGGAGGAGAGGAAAGAAGGAGAGGAGAGAGGAGGAGGACAGAGGAUAGAGGAGGAGAGAGGAGAGGAAAGGAAAGAAGGAGAGA
Long non-coding RNA from Seriola aureovittata, 570 nucleotides. RefSeq lists it as uncharacterized. The record is from RefSeq and is a predicted model, not a curated record. The transcript is spliced from 4 exons. Lineage: Eukaryota; Metazoa; Chordata; Actinopteri; Carangiformes; Carangidae.